Molecule: non-coding RNA, 439 nt
Organism: Aegilops tauschii subsp. strangulata
Lineage: Eukaryota; Viridiplantae; Streptophyta; Magnoliopsida; Poales; Poaceae
Source: RefSeq, a predicted model, not a curated record
CCGAAAUCUUAGAGGCCUUGAUGUGUUCACAAGAUUGGAUAAGAAACAAAUAUAAAGGUGUGUCUUUCUUUACAUACAUCAUAAAGUUUAUCAUUAUCUUGCUGUAAUGUUUCAUAAGAUGUUCAUUACUACUUAUUUGAUUCUCAUAGAUGCUGACAAUGAAUAAGGACAAAGCUUUUGGAGUUGUCUUCAAGACAUUCAAGAGGGAAUGCAGGUGAAGUACAGGACUUGGCACUUUGAUUUGGCAUUGGAAGAUUUGAAGAUGGUCGUUUGGAGGCUUGGAGAUGUGAAAGAUGCCAUGAUGAUUCCAACUUUAAAGUGAUUUGUGAACUAUAAGUUCUAUUUCAGAACUUAUAUAGCUGUUGAACCAUCUACUAUUGUUUUUUGUUGAAAUUUACUCAAGUUAUGCUGCUGAAAUGUGCUUGUUUUGCUGCUGAAA